Molecule: ribosomal RNA, 373 nt
Filed under: uncultured organism
Description: partial 16S ribosomal RNA
Rfam family: Bacterial small subunit ribosomal RNA
Source: RNAcentral
GUAGGUGGCAAGCGUUGUCCGGAAUUAUUGGGCGUAAAGCGCGCGCAGGCGGUUCUUUAAGUCUGAUGUGAAAGCCCACGGGCUCAACCGUGGAGGGUCAUUGGAAACUGGAGAACUUGAGUACAGAAGAGGAAAGCGGAAUUCCACGUGUAGCGGUGAAAUGCGUAGAGAUGUGGAGGAACACCAGUGGCGAAGGCGGCUUUCUGGUCUGUAACUGACGCUGAGGCGCGAAAGCGUGGGGAGCAAACAGGAUUAGAUACCCUGGUAGUCCACGCCGUAAACGAUGAGUGCUAAGUGUUAGGGGGUUUCCGCCCCUUAGUGCUGCAGCUAACGCGUUAAGCACUCCGCCUGGGGAGUACGGCCGCAAAGGCUG